GAUGAACGCUGGCGGCGUGCCUAAUACAUGCAAGUCGAGCGAACAGACGAGGAGCUUGCUCCUUCGACGUUAGCGGCGGACGGGUGAGUAACACGUAUGUAAUCUACUUAUAUUACUGGGAUAACUUCGGGAAACCGGAUCUAAUACCGGAUAAUAUUUCGAACCGCAUGGUUCGAUAGUGAAAGAUGGCUUUGCUAUCUCUUAUCGAUGCUCCUGCGCCGUAUUAGCUAGUUGGUAAGGUAACGGCUUACCAAGGCAACGAUACGUAGCCGACCUGAGAGGGUGAUCGGCCACACUGGAACUGAGACACGGUACAGACUCCGACGGGAGGCAGCAGUAGGGAAUGUUCGGAAAUGGGCGAAAGCCUGAAGGAGCAACGCCGCGUGAGUGAAGAAGGGCUUCGGAUCGUAAAACGCUGUUAUUAGGGAAGAACAAACGUGUAAGUAACUGUGCACGUCUUGACGGUACCUAAACAGAAAGACACGGCUAACUACGUG
This 497-nucleotide ribosomal RNA is filed under the name uncultured bacterium. Its description in RNAcentral is "partial 16S ribosomal RNA". It matches the Rfam family "Bacterial small subunit ribosomal RNA", at positions 28 to 507 of the family's 1533-position model. The record is from RNAcentral.